UACGUAGGUGACUAGCGUUGUCCGGAUUUACUGGGCGUAAAGAGCGCGCAGGCGGUCGGGCAAGUCGAGUGUGAAAGCCCCCGGCUCAACUGGGGAGGGUCACUCGAUACUGUUCGACUCGAAGGCGGGAGAGGGAAGCGGAAUUCCCGGUGUAGUGGUGAAAUGCGUAGAUAUUGGGAGGAACACCAGUGGCGAAGGCGGCUCACUGGACCGGAACUGACGCUGAGGCGCGAAAGCGUGGGGAGCAAACAGG
Molecule: ribosomal RNA, 253 nt
Filed under: uncultured bacterium
Lineage: Bacteria
Description: partial 16S ribosomal RNA
Rfam family: Bacterial small subunit ribosomal RNA
Source: RNAcentral